This is a long non-coding RNA of Asparagus officinalis (garden asparagus), 510 nucleotides long. RefSeq lists it as uncharacterized. The transcript is spliced from 3 exons. The record is from RefSeq and is a predicted model, not a curated record. Lineage: Eukaryota; Viridiplantae; Streptophyta; Magnoliopsida; Asparagales; Asparagaceae.
UCCCGUCGUGCGAGAUUCAGGCCUGGUGGCCAAGCUCCUACCCAGGUUGAUACACGUGGCCAGUCCACGCACGAACGACCCGUUGGUUCUAUGAGGGGUGAUAUUCCGAAAAAGAAAAAAAUCGCUCAUAAACCACACGUUGGUCAGCGCUCCUAUGAAGUGGAUUUAGGAGACUUCGCCGACAGGGAGGAAGGGUUCUUUGAAGAGGGCGAACUCCCAUUGUCUCCCGUAUUCACUGGUUCUGAUAAUAUGGAUAGCUUCAUGGAGCAGAUGUGCGACGCCCUUCGUGACGGUUCUCUGGGUAUCAUUGAUCUUGGAUAGGUGAAUAGUGUUGAGCCCACCGUUCCAUAUUUAGGUAUAUCUACAUCCGAUGAUACCCUCCUCAAACAUGGGGAGAGAGAAUCUUCUGUUCUUGCUGCAGGUUCCUCGGGACCCGACGCUGGAUUAUUAGCCGAUAUGUUGGCUGAGCAGGCCACCAGAAGAACCGUGGGACCACCCUUUGAGAGUGAU